GCUGUGUCUAAAAACUUAUUUUAAACUAACUUAAAGGUGAAGAGGCCUUUAUAAGAAAGAAGGACGACAAGACCCUAUGAAGCUUUAUCUUAUUAGGGAUUUGAAAGAUCCUUAUACGAUUUUGAUGGGAGAUCAGUAAAAAUAAGUCUUUUACCAUUAUUUUUAUCUUACAAGUGUUUCCUAAUUUUAUAUGUGUGACUAGCUACUCUAGGGAUAACAGCGCAAUUUCUCCCGAAAGAUGGUAUUGGAGGGGAAGAUUGCGACCUCGAUGUUGGC
This 276-nucleotide ribosomal RNA is filed under the name Mytilus coruscus. RNAcentral describes it as "partial 16S ribosomal RNA". The stretch from base 32 to 276 matches the Rfam family "Bacterial large subunit ribosomal RNA", at positions 2048 to 2536 of the family's 2925-position model. The record is from RNAcentral. Lineage: Eukaryota; Metazoa; Mollusca; Bivalvia; Mytilida; Mytilidae.